GACGAACGCUGGCGGCGUGCCUAAUACAUGCAAGUCGAGCGGACGAUUCGAAAGCUUGCUUUUGAAUCGUUAGCGGCGGACGGGUGAGUAACACGUGGGCAACCUGCCCUGUAGACGGGGAUAACACCGAGAAAUCGGUGCUAAUACCGGAUAACACGAAAUGUCGCAUGACGUUUCGUUGAAAGGCGGCGCAAGCUGCCGCUACAGGAUGGGCCCGCGGCGCAUUAGCUAGUUGGUGAGGUAACGGCUCACCAAGGCGACGAUGCGUAGCCGACCUGAGAGGGGGAGCGCCCACCCGGGGCUUGGGACACGGCCCAGACCCCACGGGGGGGCAGCAGUGGGGAAUCUUCCGCAAUGGACGAAAGUCUGAGGGGGCAACGCCGGGGGAGCAAAGAAGGCUUUCGGGUCGUAAAGCUUUUUUGUUAGGGAAGAAAAAGUAACGUAGUAACUGACGUUACUAUGACGGUACCUAACGAAAAAGCCACGGCUAACUACGG
This 497-nucleotide ribosomal RNA is filed under the name uncultured bacterium. Its description in RNAcentral is "partial 16S ribosomal RNA". It matches the Rfam family "Bacterial small subunit ribosomal RNA", at positions 28 to 506 of the family's 1533-position model. The record is from RNAcentral.